This 384-nucleotide long non-coding RNA is filed under the name Carica papaya (papaya). Its description in RNAcentral is "long non-coding RNA (CPAP_LNC000443)". The record is from RNAcentral. Lineage: Eukaryota; Viridiplantae; Streptophyta; Magnoliopsida; Brassicales; Caricaceae.
CGGAAGUAAAGGUGGAUAGAAAACAAAAAUGACCAAUGGAGCAUAGUUUAUAACAAACUCGUUUAUCAACAUAAAAACCUUUACUGUCCACUUACCUCGGUGAGAUCCAUGAAAACAACAUAUGAAAGCAAUAACAUUAUCAUCAUCAUGAAAUCAUAUAGACUUUAUAACAUAACACUUACCACGCCUUUGCAUUUCAAUCAUUAAACAACAAAUUUUCCUUUUUUACCAGCCUACUAGUAUCCAUGGGGAUCCAUAGGGGGUCCCCGCUACCCGUGAACCAUUAAUAUUAAUAACCUGAUUCCAGGGCCGUCCCCGUACCCCGUCUGGUAUGGGCGCCAAAACCAUGAACCUCAAUACCCCGUCCGGUAUGAGGGUGAAACG